UGCUUAACACAUGCAAGUCGAACGGAAAGGCCCUGCUUUUGUGGGGUGCUCGAGUGGCGAACGGGUGAGUAACACGUGAGUAACCUGCCCUUGACUUUGGGAUAACUUCAGGAAACUGGGGCUAAUACCGGAUAGGAGCUCCUGCUGCAUGGUGGGGGUUGGAAAGUUUCGGCGGUUGGGGAUGGACUCGCGGCUUAUCAGCUUGUUGGUGGGGUAGUGGCUUACCAAGGCUUUGACGGGUAGCCGGCCUGAGAGGGUGACCGGCCACAUUGGGACUGAGAUACGGCCCAGACUCCUACGGGAGGCAGCAGUGGGGAAUAUUGCACAAUGGGCGGAAGCCUGAUGCAGCAACGCCGCGUGCGGGAUGACGGCCUUCGGGUUGUAAACCGCUUUCGCCUGUGACGAAGCGUGAGUGACGGUAAUGGGUAAAGAAGCACCGGCCAACUACGUGCCAGCAGCCGCGGUGAUACGUAGGGAGCGAGCGUUGUCCGGAUUUAUUGGGCGUAAAGGGCUCGUAGGUGGUUGAUCGCGUCGGAAGUGUAAUCUUGGGGCUUAACCCUGAGUGUGCUUUCGAUACGGGUUGACUUGAGGAAGGUAGGGGAGAAUGGAAUUCCUGGUGGAGCGGUGGAAUGCGCAGAUAUCAGGAGGAACACCAGUGGCGAAGGCGGUUCUCUGGGCCUUUCCUGACGCUGAGGAGCGAAAGCGUGGGGAGCGAACAGGCUUAGAUACCCUGGUAGUCCACGCUGUAAACGGUGGGUACUAGGUGUGGGGUCCAUUCCACGGGUUCCGUGCCGUAGCUAACGCUUUAAGUACCCCGCCUGGGGAGUACGGCCGCAAGGCUAAAACUCAAAGGAAUUGACGGGGCCCCGCACAAGCGGCGGAGCAUGCGGAUUAAUUCGAUGCAACGCGUAGAACCUUACCUGGGUUUGACAUGGAUCGGGAGCGCUCAGAGAUGGGUGUGCCUCUUUUGGGGUCGGUUCACAGGUGGUGCAUGGCUGUCGUCAGCUCGUGUCGUGAGAUGUUGGGUUAAGUCCCGCAACGAGCGCAACCCUUGUUCACUGUUGCCAGCACGUUAUGGUGGGGACUCAGUGGAGACCGCCGGGGUCAACUCGGAGGAAGGUGGGGAUGACGUCAAGUCAUCAUGCCCCUUAUGUCCAGGGCUUCACGCAUGCUACAAUGGCUGGUACAGAGAGUGGCGAGCCUGUGAGGGUGAGCGAAUCUCGGAAAGCCGGUCUCAGUUCGGAUUGGGGUCUGCAACUCGACCUCAUGAAGUCGGAGUCGCUAGUAAUCGCAGAUCAGCAACGCUGCGGUGAAUACGUUCCCGGGGCUUGUACACACCGCCCGUCAAGUCAUGAAAGUUGGUAACACCCGAAGCCGGUGGCCUAACCGUUGUGGGGGAGCCGUCGAAGGUGGGACUGGUGAUUAGGACUAA
RNAcentral lists this ribosomal RNA (1432 nucleotides) under uncultured organism. RNAcentral describes it as "16S ribosomal RNA". It matches the Rfam family "Bacterial small subunit ribosomal RNA". The record is from RNAcentral.